UUAAGCGACUAAGCGUACACGGUGGAUGCCCUGGCAGUCAGAGGCGAUGAAGGACGUGCUAAUCUGCGAUAAGCGUCGGUAAGGUGAUAUGAACCGUUAUAACCGGCGAUUUCCGAAUGGGGAAACCCAGUGUGUUUCGACACACUAUCAUUAACUGAAUCCAUAGGUUAAUGAGGCGAACCGGGGGAACUGAAACAUCUAAGUACCCCGAGGAAAAGAAAUCAACCGAGAUUCCCCCAGUAGCGGCGAGCGAACGGGGAGCAGCCCAGAGCCUGAAUCAGUGUGUGUGUUAGUGGAAGCGUCUGGAAAGGCGCGCGAUACAGGGUGACAGCCCCGUACACAAAAAUGCACAUGCUGUGAGCUCGAUGAGUAGGGCGGGACACGUGGUAUCCUGUCUGAAUAUGGGGGGACCAUCCUCCAAGGCUAAAUACUCCUGACUGACCGAUAGUGAACCAGUACCGUGAGGGAAAGGCGAAAAGAACCCCGGCGAGGGGAGUGAAAAAGAACCUGAAACCGUGUACGUACAAGCAGUGGGAGCACGCUUAGGCGUGUGACUGCGUACCUUUUGUAUAAUGGGUCAGCGACUUAUAUUCUGUAGCAAGGUUAACCGAAUAGGGGAGCCGAAGGGAAACCGAGUCUUAACUGGGCGUUAAGUUGCAGGGUAUAGACCCGAAACCCGGUGAUCUAGCCAUGGGCAGGUUGAAGGUUGGGUAACACUAACUGGAGGACCGAACCGACUAAUGUUGAAAAAUUAGCGGAUGACUUGUGGCUGGGGGUGAAAGGCCAAUCAAACCGGGAGAUAGCUGGUUCUCCCCGAAAGCUAUUUAGGUAGCGCCUCGUGAAUUCAUCUCCGGGGGUAGAGCACUGUUUCGGCAAGGGGGUCAUCCCGACUUACCAACCCGAUGCAAACUGCGAAUACCGGAGAAUGUUAUCACGGGAGACACACGGCGGGUGCUAACGUCCGUCGUGAAGAGGGAAACAACCCAGACCGCCAGCUAAGGUCCCAAAGUCAUGGUUAAGUGGGAAACGAUGUGGGAAGGCCCAGACAGCCAGGAUGUUGGCUUAGAAGCAGCCAUCAUUUAAAGAAAGCGUAAUAGCUCACUGGUCGAGUCGGCCUGCGCGGAAGAUGUAACGGGGCUAAACCAUGCACCGAAGCUGCGGCAGCGACACUAUGUGUUGUUGGGUAGGGGAGCGUUCUGUAAGCCUGCGAAGGUGUGCUGUGAGGCAUGCUGGAGGUAUCAGAAGUGCGAAUGCUGACAUAAGUAACGAUAAAGCGGGUGAAAAGCCCGCUCGCCGGAAGACCAAGGGUUCCUGUCCAACGUUAAUCGGGGCAGGGUGAGUCGACCCCUAAGGCGAGGCCGAAAGGCGUAGUCGAUGGGAAACAGGUUAAUAUUCCUGUACUUGGUGUUACUGCGAAGGGGGGACGGAGAAGGCUAUGUUGGCCGGGCGACGGUUGUCCCGGUUUAAGCGUGUAGGCUGGUUUUCCAGGCAAAUCCGGAAAAUCAAGGCUGAGGCGUGAUGACGAGGCACUACGGUGCUGAAGCAACAAAUGCCCUGCUUCCAGGAAAAGCCUCUAAGCAUCAGGUAACAUCAAAUCGUACCCCAAACCGACACAGGUGGUCAGGUAGAGAAUACCAAGGCGCUUGAGAGAACUCGGGUGAAGGAACUAGGCAAAAUGGUGCCGUAACUUCGGGAGAAGGCACGCUGAUAUGUAGGUGAAGUCCCUCGCGGAUGGAGCUGAAAUCAGUCGAAGAUACCAGCUGGCUGCAACUGUUUAUUAAAAACACAGCACUGUGCAAACACGAAAGUGGACGUAUACGGUGUGACGCCUGCCCGGUGCCGGAAGGUUAAUUGAUGGGGUCAGCGCAAGCGAAGCUCUUGAUCGAAGCCCCGGUAAACGGCGGCCGUAACUAUAACGGUCCUAAGGUAGCGAAAUUCCUUGUCGGGUAAGUUCCGACCUGCACGAAUGGCGUAAUGAUGGCCAGGCUGUCUCCACCCGAGACUCAGUGAAAUUGAACUCGCUGUGAAGAUGCAGUGUACCCGCGGCAAGACGGAAAGACCCCGUGAACCUUUACUAUAGCUUGACACUGAACAUUGAGCCUUGAUGUGUAGGAUAGGUGGGAGGCUUUGAAGUGUGGACGCCAGUCUGCAUGGAGCCGACCUUGAAAUACCACCCUUUAAUGUUUGAUGUUCUAACGUGGACCCGUAAUCCGGGUUGCGGACAGUGUCUGGUGGGUAGUUUGACUGGGGCGGUCUCCUCCUAAAGAGUAACGGAGGAGCACGAAGGUUGGCUAAUCCUGGUCGGACAUCAGGAGGUUAGUGCAAUGGCAUAAGCCAGCUUGACUGCGAGCGUGACGGCGCGAGCAGGUGCGAAAGCAGGUCAUAGUGAUCCGGUGGUUCUGAAUGGAAGGGCCAUCGCUCAACGGAUAAAAGGUACUCCGGGGAUAACAGGCUGAUACCGCCCAAGAGUUCAUAUCGACGGCGGUGUUUGGCACCUCGAUGUCGGCUCAUCACAUCCUGGGGCUGAAGUAGGUCCCAAGGGUAUGGCUGUUCGCCAUUUAAAGUGGUACGCGAGCUGGGUUUAGAACGUCGUGAGACAGUUCGGUCCCUAUCUGCCGUGGGCGCUGGAGAACUGAGGGGGGCUGCUCCUAGUACGAGAGGACCGGAGUGGACGCAUCACUGGUGUUCGGGUUGUCAUGCCAAUGGCACUGCCCGGUAGCUAAAUGCGGAAGAGAUAAGUGCUGAAAGCAUCUAAGCACGAAACUUGCCCCGAGAUGAGUUCUCCCUGACUCCUUGAGAGUCCUGAAGGAACGUUGAAGACGACGACGUUGAUAGGCCGGGUGUGUAAGCGCAGCGAUGCGUUGAGCUAACCGGUACUAAUGAACCGUGAGGCUUAACCU
This 2900-nucleotide ribosomal RNA is filed under the name Escherichia coli. RNAcentral's name for it is "23S ribosomal RNA". It matches the Rfam family "Bacterial large subunit ribosomal RNA". Lineage: Bacteria; Pseudomonadati; Pseudomonadota; Gammaproteobacteria; Enterobacterales; Enterobacteriaceae. The record is from RNAcentral.